UGUAAUCUGACGGGUCUAAAUUACACCAUUUAGUUUCGGUUUUGUUAUGCUUAGUAAUGGCGUUUAAAAUCAGGACACAUGUGGUGCUAUACAAGUGAUAAUUUAAACGUUUGGAGGAUAUGUUUUUCUAUAAAAUGGCGGACGACGAAGGUACUGAUGUUGACAUUACUCACGACGUUUUUCUGAUUCACGUCAACGAACCGACGGAAGACCGGGAUUUGGCCUUGGGGAAAGUUAAGCCUUUACUGGAAAGUCGAGGUAUAAAGGUUAUGACUGACCAUGAUGAUUUCCGAGGUGGCAGAAGCGUGUUGGACAACAUUGCUUUGGCUGUCAGAAGUUGCCGAAAGUGUCUGAUCGUACUCACAGAACAUUCCCACAACAGUCCCUGGUGUUCACUGGAACUACUGCUGGCAAUGGAGAAGUCCCACAGACAGAACAUUAUGUCUCUUGUUGUCCUGCAGAUAGGAAAUACAAUUGAAUGGGAAAACCAGCUGGCGUUGGAGAUGCUGAAUACGGUUCCACGUGUAGACAUUCAACACAACAAUGAUAUCGACAGCAAAGUGGAUGAACUUGUCGAGAAAAUCAAAGAAAGGAAAUGCAUAGAAGAACUUUUGCCUGCUGGAAACAUUGCGCAUGCUCAAGUUUGGUCUCACUAUACAGGUUUAUUGCAGUACUUGCUUCCAGAAAUUGCAGACCUUAUUCAGCAAACAGAGCUGUAUAAGAAAAAUCCGUCCAGGUUUUCACUGAAGUUGCAUGAACUAGUCCCAGAGAACUGUCGCUGUCCAAAAGUAAUAGAGGACAUCCCCGAGAAGAGAUCAGAGAAAAGAAUAAUUGAAAUGGAUAAAAAAUUACCAGAACUAAUCUACAAGAGAGCUGGGAACACUAGGACAGUGGUGAUGACGAUCUAUUGUGUAAAGGACAGGGACGGCGAGGAGUACUACUGUGUAGCGGAAUAUCCUGGCGUUUUGGCGGGAAUCCAGAAGAUGAUCGAGGAAACCUCUACCAGAUUACAGGAAUGCGACAGACGUGUUCAGGUUGGACGGUUUUACUACACGUUGGUCGGUUUGCUGCAUCACGAGAGUUUGGAAAACACACUGAAUAAAGCAAAUGUCAUCAUGUACAAUGAAAAUAGGCCAGGGUUUGUUCUUGCUGACGAGAUGAUAAAAUCUAUUAAACUGGACCUAAAUAUGGAAGCUUUCAGAGAUGGAAAGAUAGAGAGACCAUUGGACAGACUAAGCUCAAAAGAACCUGCUCAUUAUGAGAAAGAAGUGUUUUUGUUUUACCAUCCGUCUGGCGCAAGCAAGACAACAAGAGAUGAUAUUGUAAAGCGCCUCGAAGAAGAAGGUGUAAAGUUUUAUGAGGAUGGACAGAUCGGGCAUAGGCAGUUUGAUACCAUGGAAUGCGCCGUAGACCAGUGUUACUGGACGAUUGCAAUCAUGACCAAAGAAGCCCUUUAUGACAAAACAUUUACUUUGCAACUUCUGAGCAUUUUAGAUGCGUUUUUAAGAGAUAAGAAAAUUAGAUUGAUUCCAGUGUUGGUAGAUACAGAUGUCGGCGAUAUCCCUGGUGCCAUUCGAUUUGUGACGUAUGUCACUGUUGAUGCAAAGAAAAGAUAUUUAGAACAACUCAUCUGCACAAUACGAGGGAAUGACAUCCCCUUUGAGAAAGAGGCAUUGAUACCGGCUGGGGACGUGGCAUAUGGACUGGCGUGGACUUAUGUGCUCAAUUAUCUGCAGUAUGUCUUGAUGGAUCCGGAGCAGGAGGGAGUUAAUGGAUUAACAGAAUCUAUUGAGAACGUGUUAAUUAAACACAACAGAGAUCCCUCCUUAUGCAAGAAAAAGGUGUACAUCAUUGUUCCUGAUUCCUGUGAGUGUCAUGCCUCCCUACAUGAUGCAGAUCCACGAAUUACUAAAUUGGAGACUAUACACCCAGUGUAUGUCAGCCUUGCGGGAACCAAAAGGCCUUAUCACUUCGAUAUGUACACAUUUGAAGAAAAUGGAAAAGAAUAUUUUUUCGUUGGCCAGUAUGCAGCUCCGGUAACCUGUCUGAAUGACAUGUGGAACCUGAAGAUUGCAGGAUUAAAUCAAAAAGACAUGGUUAAGCAAGCCAGCAAAUUCUGCCAUGAAAUUGGGAUUAUAUUGAGGCAGAAGUUAGUUGAGAAAUUUGCUCACAGGUGCGAGGUUGUAUCUUAUGAUGGUAAGUUUAUAUUUCUUACCAAGCUAAAAAGUUUUUAAUGAAAAUAACGCAUUUCAAUGACUAUAUAAUUUAUUAAUGUUAAUUGCACAAUGUUAAAUUUUAAAAUCAAGAAACUGAAAUAUUUCAAAAAAUGUUAAGACGUUAGUAAGGAAAUGUAUAUUACUCUUGUCAAAUUGAGCAAUCCAUGGAUACUAAGAAGGGGAUAGGUUGAUUGAUUGAUGUUUUACGCCACACUCAACAAUUUUUCAGUUAUCUGGUGGCGCGCAGUUUUUAUUGGUGGAAGAGAGAACCCAGAUACAAUGUGCCUGGGAAGAGACCACCGACCUUCCGCAAGUAAACUGGGAAACUUUCUCACUUACCGGCGUGAGCGGGAUUCGAACCCGCGCCGAGCAGAGAUUCGAAGCACUCGCUGACAGGGGAGAUGAAACGGAGAAUAGAAUCCCAAUAGAUAAUGGAUUCAUUUUGAUUGAUAUCAAUGGAAUGAUAUACAUCUACGUCCUAUAGCAAAAUGUAUUAUUAUGUAUGACAAUGAUAAGUGCAAACAGGAUCCAGUGAAGGUUAAAACCCGCGCUAAAUGACCAAAUAUAUAAACGCUUACUUAUUGUUGUUCAAUGUUUUUUUUUAAGACCCCUAGUAUAGUUGGACACUCAAGAGAAAAAUACAUGCAUCUGGAUCUGUUCAUAAUAUAUAUAUUUAUCAUUGUUUCAUAUUUGUAUUUUUUUCUCUCAAAGAUACCGUUGUAGUGUGUUUAUUUUGUUUUAGUUCUUGGCAGCAACAUGCUUCUGAGAAUACGCUUCAAGUAGUAUUCAUCAUAUACUGAUAGGAGGCUUUAAUUUUACCAUAAUAUUUCAUUUCUUCUCUGAAAGAUUCCAUUUUUGCAUGUUUAUUUUUUUUUUUAUAUUUUUAUUAUAGUGGCAGCAAUAUUUGCUUUUGAGAAUAUGUUCCGAGUAUUAUUCACGAUAUGCUGAUAGGGGUUUUAAUCAAACCGUUCAAGGGUGUAUAUAUAUAUAUAUAUAUAUAUAUAUAUAUAUAUAUAUAUAUAUAUAGUAUUCUCUCUCUCUCUCUCUCUCUCUCUCUCUCUCUCUCUCUCUCUCUCUCUCUGUGUGUGUGUGUGUCCUGAUGUUACUGUAUACACUGUACAUGUACAAAUAUAGCAAACAGCUUUGUAUGGUUUCGUGCGAUCUGGUUACAUUGAAAUAUUUCGAUAGUUAGUGGUAUAUUUCUGAUUUUCAUAAUUUAAAAAAAAGUGUCUGAAGCAUUUCACACAAUUGGUUGUAAAUAUAAAUUGUUCUUUCGUGAAAACAUGGAAGAAAAUCGUUGUAGUUGAGAUUUAAUUGUGUUUUUACUUCAACUGGGAGGUUGUGAGUUUAAGUCCCACUCGUGCCAUGACCACGUCAAACAUAUGUGGUGAUUGCUCCGUCGCCAACGCUUUGCAUUUAAAAAUGAGAAUCACAUGUCUUUCGGAUAUGCCCUUAAAAACGGAGGUCCCGUGUCGCCACAAGCGUUGGUGUGUAAAAGAACCCUCACUGCUACGCCCCUGAGCGCUAAGCAUAUGUCUGAAUUUGUGGUACUUCACCUACAGCUGGUAACGUCUCAAUAUGAGUGAAACAUUCUUGACGAGACGUAAAACAAACAACCUACCAACCAAUCAAAUGUCAACAAAUGAAAUAUAUUCGUGUCAUUAUACAGUUUUUCAAAAGAAUUGUUUGAAGCAUGCAUGUAGUAACAUUACGAAUUCAAGAAAUGUGCAGACGUUAGAUUUUCAAAUGGUGAAACUGCACAGAUAUCCAUUCUUUUACAAAAAGGGACCAACUAUAGAAAUUGGCACGGUUGUUUUUAUGUUUUUCUGCAUAAUUUGAUAUGAUUUUGAUUUUUUAAAGAUUGUCUUUGAUAAUUACAUGUACAUGUAUUCGAUUUGUGUUUUACAAAUAAAAUGGUUAGAAAUAGUA
RNA transcript from Ostrea edulis (European flat oyster), 4145 nucleotides. It is a transcript of the gene named stimulator of interferon genes protein-like, with no coding region annotated. The record is from RefSeq and is a predicted model, not a curated record. NCBI's taxonomy places the organism in Eukaryota, Metazoa, Mollusca, Bivalvia, Ostreida, Ostreidae. The transcript is spliced from 13 exons.